CGUACAACUACGAUGGUGUGAGCACUAAACAGUCCUUUAAGCAGUACAAAAACAUAAUAAACAUAAUAAAACCAUUUUUGGAAUCCUAAAAACAGAUGCAUACACCCAAACGGAUUAUGUCACCGAUACCAGAACUGCCUUUCACACGUUAAAGCGUCGUUAUCACAAAAGAAACCAUGAUUUAAGGAGAAAAAUUAAAAGGACUCAGGAAAGCCAGCCGAACUCUGACUGGAAAUAACUGAUACUUUUUGUAAAAGCUUUAAAGUUUUUUAUAUUAGGCGCGCAAACAGUUCAUAUAUUUGCAAUGCUUAUCUCAACGAAAGGAGUAAAAAGCUAAACUGGUUUUUGGCUCUUUUUUCAAGUUCUGUUCUUUUCACUUUAAUUAGGUUAUUUUUGGUUUACAAAGCACCUCAAAACGCCAGCCUUUCAAACCGUAACGUUAUGGUCGACAUCCCCUUAAAAAAAAUGGAUCAAUGAUUUCACCACUCGAUAUGGCUCAGCCUGACUUUUAGAAUUAUAGUUAGUUAUUUAUUUGUUUUUUUGUUUUCCAUUUGUUGGUCAAAUUAGUUUCU
This is a long non-coding RNA of Drosophila elegans, 572 nucleotides long. RefSeq lists it as uncharacterized. Lineage: Eukaryota; Metazoa; Arthropoda; Insecta; Diptera; Drosophilidae. The record is from RefSeq and is a predicted model, not a curated record. The transcript has 2 exons.